GGAGAAAUGGCAGAGUGGUCGAUUGCGUUUGAUUUGAAAUCAAAUGAUACAAUGUAUCCGUGAGUUCGAAUCUCACUUUCUCCU
RNAcentral lists this transfer RNA (84 nucleotides) under Diacronema lutheri. RNAcentral's name for it is "tRNA-Ser". It matches the Rfam family "tRNA". From Rfam's summary of the family: Transfer RNA (tRNA) molecules are approximately 80 nucleotides in length. The record is from RNAcentral. RNAcentral also lists the same sequence under 1 other name. Lineage: Eukaryota; Haptophyta; Pavlovophyceae; Pavlovales; Pavlovaceae.